CAGCCGCUGGGGGUAUACUGACCCAAAAAGGUUGAAAACCCCUGGCACAGCAGGAUCUCACUCAGACAUCAUCAACAGCUGAGUAGACCCAGAAGCAAAAACAAAACUCAAAUAAGUCAGCAGCCUUUUUUCUCUAAUGACUACGCUAGUUAGGAACAGCCACAGCAGUGAAAUAAAGCACCUGAUUGUGUCAUGCAGCAGGCAGCCUCCCUAAGCUGGGAUGCCUGGUACUGUGUAAAGAGAAGAACCAAUUAAACUGAUUAAAAAUUGGCUGAGAUGCAAGAAUAUGAUGGCAGCUGCCAGCAGAAAGAAGGGGAUGAGGGCAGAGGCAGGAGUGCAUUCGGGGACCCAUGCAAAGACCUUUUUCGUUCAUCUUGAAUGUAAGCAAUCUUGCAGAAAGGAGUGUUUCCAAAGGGGAUCUGGUUAACUGCAUUACAGUUGUAUUUAUAAAUGAUU
Molecule: long non-coding RNA, 456 nt
Organism: Alligator sinensis (Chinese alligator)
Lineage: Eukaryota; Metazoa; Chordata; Crocodylia; Alligatoridae
Exons: 3
Source: RefSeq, a predicted model, not a curated record